CAUCCCCUCAAAUACUCUGCCCAGGAGCCUUUCCUGACCAUCCUAAUCCCAUGGCUGCACCUAACAGUCUGUUCCCUCCCUCUUCCUCAUCCCAGUACCAAUGUCCAAAGCUGUCCACUCCUAGUUUUGUUCUUGUCCUCUGUCUAGGUCUGUUUCUAUGUCCUGGCUAUAAUAUAUUCGUUAGACUGGAAACCCCCUAAGGCCAGUUAUCUUCUGGCUUCUCCCACCCUCUGCACACCUCAGCACAGCCAUGACUCAGAUAAGAGAAAAGCAAGGUCUCCCUGCAGGUGGUAAGGAAGGAGACCAAUGAACCCCAGAACAGGGAGAGGUGAGAGAACAAGGAUGCUACCCUGUCCCCAAGCCUCCCAUGCUCUCCUACCAACAGACAAAAACUUCAUGGGGGCAGCAGGAGCUUCAGGGAACUAUGAACAGUGACCUUCUGACACCAAAGGUUGAACUGAAUUAAGCAACUGAGAAGAGGAGUCAAGAUGAGUCUGGAAGAGGGGCCAAGUAGCCAGAGAAGCUUUCGUGGUGGGUUGAAAGGAACACUGGCCUCUCAAGGAAACUUGGAGUUGGGGGUCUGGCACUUACCAGCGGUGUGACCUUAGGAAGAUCAUGACCUCUCUGGACCUUGGCCUGAUCAUUUCAUCCUUCACCUGGAAGACACGCUGACAAUGCCUACCUUGGAGGAUAUAGGACGCAUCCCCAUCUGACCUGCUCAGGGUCUGCCCCCGAAGCUGUGGUGAUCUGUCUGUCUCUCUCCAUCUUUCUGCCUCACUGCCAAGCCUCUGCCUCUUCCACCCCAUCAAUUCAGGCACGUAGCUCAGGAGUCCUGCCACUCAGCUCCCUCACUGUCACUCAGGCAUGUCAUUUUUCCAGAAGCUACCAUUCGCGAGGAGGGGUGGCCUUGCCCUUUCCCUGGGAGCCCAGAAGACCAGCCCCACCUUGGCUCCCUCACCCC
This 961-nucleotide long non-coding RNA is filed under the name Equus caballus (horse). RNAcentral describes it as "lncRNA (ENSECAG00000053401.1)". Lineage: Eukaryota; Metazoa; Chordata; Mammalia; Perissodactyla; Equidae. The record is from RNAcentral.